ACCGCCGAAGUUGUGGCAGCAUCACGAUACUGUAAUGGUGUGGUGUUGGGUAGGGGAGCGUCGUGUCGCCAGUGAAGUCGCCGUGUGAACGAGUGGUGGAGGCGUCACGAGUGAGAAUGCAGGCAUGAGUAGCGAAAGACGGGUGAGAAACCCGUCCACCGGAUGACCAAGGGUUCCAGGGCUAGGCUAAUCCGCCCUGGGUAAGUCGGGACCUAAGGCGAGGCCGACAGGCGUAGUCGAUGGACAACCAGUUGAUAUUCUGGUACCGACACACAACCGACAAUACCAAAACACAUGACACUAAC
RNAcentral lists this ribosomal RNA (305 nucleotides) under Burkholderia multivorans. RNAcentral describes it as "bacterial LSU rRNA". It matches the Rfam family "Bacterial large subunit ribosomal RNA", at positions 1190 to 1486 of the family's 2925-position model. The record is from RNAcentral. Lineage: Bacteria; Pseudomonadati; Pseudomonadota; Betaproteobacteria; Burkholderiales; Burkholderiaceae.